RNAcentral lists this ribosomal RNA (318 nucleotides) under uncultured eukaryote. Its description in RNAcentral is "partial 18S ribosomal RNA". It matches the Rfam family "Eukaryotic small subunit ribosomal RNA", at positions 1470 to 1796 of the family's 1831-position model. The record is from RNAcentral.
CCCUUAGAUGUCCUGGGCCGCACGCGUGCUACACUGACGCAUACAGCGAGCACUUUCCAGUUCCGAGAGGCUACUGGUAAUCAUCAAUAUGCGUCGUGAUGGGGAUAGAUCUUUGGAAUUCUGGAUCUUGAACGAGGAAUGCCUAGUAAUCGCAGGUCAUUAGCCUGCGAUGAUUAAGUCCCUGCCCUUUGUACACACCGCCCGUCGCUACUACCGAUUUCUAGUGGUCAGGUGAAUCUUUCGGACUGUGGGCGCCCUUGAGGUGUUCGCGGAAAGUCAGGUAAAUCUUAUCACUUAGAGGAAGUAAAAGUCGUAACA